This 82-nucleotide transfer RNA is filed under the name Starmerella bacillaris. RNAcentral's name for it is "tRNA-Leu". It matches the Rfam family "tRNA". Rfam says of the family: Transfer RNA (tRNA) molecules are approximately 80 nucleotides in length. Their secondary structure includes four short double-helical elements and three loops (D, anti-codon, and T loops). Further hydrogen bonds mediate the characteristic L-shaped molecular structure. tRNAs have two regions of fundamental functional importance: the anti-codon, which is responsible for specific mRNA codon recognition, and the 3' end, to which the tRNAs corresponding amino acid is attached (by aminoacyl-tRNA synthetases). tRNAs cope with the degeneracy of the genetic code in two manners: having more than one tRNA (with a specific anti-codon) for a particular amino acid; and 'wobble' base-pairing, i.e. permitting non-standard base-pairing at the 3rd anti-codon position. Lineage: Eukaryota; Fungi; Ascomycota; Dipodascomycetes; Dipodascales; Trichomonascaceae. The record is from RNAcentral.
AUCAAUCUGGUGAAAUUGGUAGACACGUUAUAGUUAAGUUAUAAUGCUUUAAUGCAUGAAGGUUCAAGUCCUUCGAUUGAUA